Non-coding RNA from Pelobates cultripes (western spadefoot toad), 396 nucleotides. NCBI's taxonomy places the organism in Eukaryota, Metazoa, Chordata, Amphibia, Anura, Pelobatidae. The record is from the annotation of a GenBank genome assembly.
GUGGGGUUAAUUAAUGAUAUUAGGUUUUAUAGAACAGUUUUUACAGCUAUAGGAAAUGUGUGCAAAGCCAGAUUUAUAUCUCAAAUGUCUGCUCAGCCAAUAUCACAAUAUUAUAUGAAUCUUUAACAAUUACGCUAUCACCUCUCCCUAUACAACCAAGCUUGCUGCUAACAUUUACUGCUGCUCUAUUACAUUGUCUUCCUACCUUUAAGUCAUCUGCCAAAAUUACUCAUAAAUCCAUUUCCUCAGAUGUUGAGGUUAGGACUCUAUCAAAUAGUGUAUACUCUGCCCUUGUGUUUUUCUAAGAUGCAUUAUCUUGCACUUAUUCACAUUAAAUGUCAGUUGCCACAGCUCUGACCAUUUUUCUAGUUUACCAAAAUCAUUUGCCAUUUGGCU